Long non-coding RNA from Leptinotarsa decemlineata (Colorado potato beetle), 2010 nucleotides. RefSeq lists it as uncharacterized. The record is from RefSeq and is a predicted model, not a curated record. Lineage: Eukaryota; Metazoa; Arthropoda; Insecta; Coleoptera; Chrysomelidae.
UCAAAACACAUGUAUUGGUAUAGGCGCCGUACAGGCAUGGCAACUCUGUCUUAUUAUUACUGAGGUGAGUUUGAUUGGUCAAACACUUGAGCUAACCUUUCACAAUGCCAUACCUUGAUAUUUGGAACUUUUUCUAAUGAAGUCUGUCACUUGUCAAAAUUUUUGUUUGGAGUGAUUUGGACUAGAUAUGAUGUCAUUCUUAAGAAUUCUUAAGAAAUUAGACGAGAAUGUUGAUUUAUUUGUGAAUGUGCUAUUGGUUAUAAUGUGUCAAAAUGCCGCAAACUACAAUGAAAUAUACCAGAGACUCCAUGAAUCAGGUAUUACAAGCUGUAAGCAAUGGCGUUCCGUUUAGGACAGCAGCCAAGCAAUUUGAAGUACCAAAAACAACGCUUGCAUAUAAAAUGAGAAGUGAUCUACCUCAAGUAUGUCGUAAGGACUACCAACCAAUUCAUCUCGAGAAUAAGAAAAUGCUUUGGUGAAAUGGCUACUUUAUUUUGGUGAUAGAGGGAUUCCCGCUACCAAAACUCAACUCAUGGAUUCAGUUGAAAUGCUUAUGAAAAACUGAGUUUUAUACUUGAUAAUGGGGUUAAACCCGAAACCAGUCGUAUAAAUCUACCAGUGGUAUUUAGACAAAAGUGUUUUUAUUCAUUUCAUUUAAGACAUUUGUUACAACCGCUAAAUGUAGCCGUAUUCAGGCCCUUGAAGUUUGGCUGGAAGGAGGAAAUUAAAAGCUGGAAAAUUGAGAAUGAUGGUGCCAAAUUCAAAAGAUAACAUUUUUGGAAUUGUGUUAAAAGCAGCAGUAGAAAGAUAUGUUAAUGUUGAAACAAUUGCAAAUGGAUUCAGUUCCACGGGUUUAUUUCCAUUAGCUCCUAAUGCAAUUGAGUACAAUAAAUAUUUCAAGGGUCAAUAAGUUUACAUGAAAACUAAGAUUAUGACCAAGACAAACAAUUGAAAAAAAUUUUUGAAAUAUUUUGAGAGUAAAAUACAUGCAGAUACUCUUGAACACUUUCAAAAUAUUGGAUUUAAUAACAUGGAUUGGCAGAAAUCAAGAUAAAUUACUCUUUAGAGUUCGGUGGAAAAUAUCCAAUGAGGUAAAAAAUCUUAAUGAAACAAUGAUAGAAGACAGGGAGAAUGUCCAGAAAGCAACUGAUGUGAAUAAUAUCCAGCAUGAAUAUGGGGAUGGUUCAGCAACACACAAGCACCAAUAACUGAUAAUGAAGAUCAGCAGACAAAUGCAGCACCAAUUACUAAUGAUAAAGAUCAGCAGACCAAUGCAGUACCAAUUAUUGAUAAUGAAGCUCGGCAGAUCAACACAGCAUCAAUUAUUGAUUUGCAAAGGCCAAGCUCUUCAAUUCCUUUUAACGUACCUUUACCUUUUAAAAAUUGUUUGUUCUGACCUGAGCCUGCAAAAGCUCAAAACCAAAAAGAUUCAAAGAAAAAAUACCCUAUGUAGCCUCUUCUGAACAGUGGCAGGCUUACCAUAUUAAAAAACAUUACAUUUAAAAGAAAAAGAAGAAAGGAAGAGUAAAAGAAAAGAAAAGAAAAAUAUAAAAUUACCUGAACCAAAAAUUAGAAGAGUAAAAAAAGAAAGUAUUGGAUGAAGACACAUCAUCUAAUUCUUUUCUCGAAAUAAAUUUGGAAAGUGAGGGUGAAGGAGAUGAUUGGGGACAUGUAAGUGAAGAUGAAGGAGAUAAUAACAAUGAAUACAAAAUUGGACAUCAUGUUAUUGUCAAAUAUGACGAUAGUUUUUAUCCAGGAAGAGUAAUAGAUAAAAAUAUUUCCAAAUAUUUGAUAUCAGUUAUGGUGUCAAGUAGCAUCAAUAACGGGAGGUGGCCGGUCAAUAAAGACGAAAUUUGGUACUAUGAAGAGGAAAUUAUUGAAAUAAUUCCAGAACCAAUGGUUUAAAAAAAAAGAGGAAUUUAUAAAGUUCCAUAACUGGAAAAGUAUAGUACAUACUACAUUCCAUGAUGUAAUGAACACUAUAAAAUGAAAUAAAACUUUUCAUUUUAA